RNAcentral lists this ribosomal RNA (440 nucleotides) under uncultured bacterium. RNAcentral describes it as "partial 16S ribosomal RNA". It matches the Rfam family "Bacterial small subunit ribosomal RNA", at positions 338 to 795 of the family's 1533-position model. The record is from RNAcentral.
CCUACGGGUGGCAGCAGUGGGGAAUAUUGCACAAUGGGGGAAACCCUGAUGCAGCGACGCCGCGUGAGUGAAGAAGUAUUUCGGUACGUAAAGCUCUAUCAGCAGGGAAGAAAAUGACGGUACCUGACUAAGAAGCCCCGGCUAACUACGUGCCAGCAGCCGCGGUAAUACGUAGGGGGCAAGCGUUAUCCGGAUUUACUGGGUGUAAAGGGAGCGUAGACGGCAGCGCAAGUCUGGAGUGAAAUCCCAUGGCUUAACCAUGGAACUGCUUUGGAAACUGUGCAGCUAGAGUGCAGGAGAGGUAAGCGGAAUUCCUAGUGUAGCGGUGAAAUGCGUAGAUAUUAGGAGGAACAGCAGGGGCGAAGGCGGCUUACUGGACUGUAACUGACGUUGAGGCUCGAAAGCGUGGGGAGCAAACAGGAUUAGAUACCCCGGUAGUC